This 497-nucleotide ribosomal RNA is filed under the name uncultured bacterium. Its description in RNAcentral is "partial 16S ribosomal RNA". It matches the Rfam family "Bacterial small subunit ribosomal RNA", at positions 28 to 507 of the family's 1533-position model. The record is from RNAcentral.
GAUGAACGCUGGCGGCGUGCCUAAUACAUGCAAGUCGAGCGAACAGACGAGGAGCUUGCUCCUCUGACGUUAGCGGCGGACGGGUGAGUAACACGUGGAUAACCUACCUAUAAGACUGGGAUAACUUCGGGAAACCGGAGCUAAUACCGGAUAAUAUAUUGAACCGCAUGGUUCAAUAGUGAAAGACGGUUUUGCUGUCACUUAUAGAUGGAUCCGCGCCGCAUUGGCUAGUUGGUAAGGUAACGGCUUACCAAGGCAACGAUGCGUAGCCGACCUGAGAGGGUGGUCGGCCACACUGGAACUGAGACACGGUCCAGAGGCCUACGGGAGGCAGCAGUAGGGAAUCUUCCGCAAUGGGCGAAAGCUUGACGGAGCAACGCCGCGUGAGUGAUGAAGGUCUUCGGAGCGUAAAACUCUGUUAUUAGGGAAGAACAAAUGUGUAAGUAACUAUGCACGUCUUGACGGUACCUAAUCAGAAAGCCACGGCUAACUACGUG